RNAcentral lists this long non-coding RNA (5787 nucleotides) under Gossypium barbadense (sea-island cotton). Its description in RNAcentral is "long non-coding RNA (GBAR_LNC012760)". Lineage: Eukaryota; Viridiplantae; Streptophyta; Magnoliopsida; Malvales; Malvaceae. The record is from RNAcentral.
CUAGCAUGAAAAAGUCAGCUACCCUAGCAUGAAAAAGUCUGCUUCCCUAGCACGCAUUCUAGGUUUUCUUUUUAGUGUCGUUUGUUUUUGUUGGUGGAUCACCUUUAAACAAUUUUAUUCAUAGCAAAGUACGGGGACAAUCAAGAUCGGGCCUCAGUCCUGUAAAAAUAGAGAUGGAAUUAGCCAGAUUAAUGUUAGACGAAGAAGAAGAAGCAGUUCUACAAGUACAACCAGAGCAGAGCACGCAGAUUGAAGGGGGUUUUUCAGGUUAGUAGGUUAUUUCUUAGCAGCAAGUAUUAUCCAUUUUUCGGCUAUGAAGAGUACUAUGGCAAACUUAUAGCACUCGGUUCGGGGUGUCUAGAUUCGAGAUCUGGGAGAUAGAAGAUUCUUGUUCUAAUUUUUUCAUGACAUGGAUUUGGAGAGAGUUUUAAAUGGAUCACCAUGGACAUUUAAUAAUAAUUUACUAGUGCUACACAAAUUACAAUAGGGGAGGAUCCAUUAAGAGUUCCUUUAAUCAUGUUGCCUUUUUGGGUUUCAGAUCUAUGACAUCCUAAUUGGUUUUUACUCGGAGAAUUUGGCAAUACAAUUGGGAAAUUUUAUAGGGAAAUUUAUAAGAGUAUGAUGGAUCGAAUUUGGGUAAGGAAAAUAAGAACUACAUGAGAAUACAAGUACAGAUUGAUGCGAGGCAGCCUCUGAAAAGGAAGAAACAUAUAUAGUUUAGUGGUAACUGUACAUACGUGAGCUUCAGGUAUGAACGGCUGUCACUCUUUUGCUUUUUCUAUGGUCGUAAAAAUGGAGCUAGGUAUAGAAGUUACUAAAAUAGGAUGGAAUUUAUCGUUAAGAGCUCAAUCUAGAAGGGCUUUAACAAUGAAAAGUAUCUGGCUGCGAGAAUACGGUGAAGAUAAUUUUGGAGGUAAUAGAAAGGAAAGAUACACUCAAGGGAAUAAUAUGUGGGCCGCUGAACAUAAGUUAGGAAGAUCGACUUUUGUAAGGCAAGCGGGAGUUAAAUUGUCAACUAAUCCGGCUCUUGCUGAUAUGAAGCAUGAUCAGGAAAAUGGAAUUUUAAUUGGGGAGGAAGGAAAGAAGAGAGCUAGAGGGGAGAAUGAGGAAGAUAUCAAUAAUACAAUGGAAAGAAAUAGAAAAGUCUUGGAAGUAUUAUUUUUCAUCGGCGGCUGCUAAGAGGCAUGCCGAUCGAGCGCAAUGAAAAUCUUAAGUUUGAAUGUUUGUGGAUUGGGGAGUUCACGGACGAUCCGAAAACUUCGACACUUGCUGAAGACACAUAAUCCCCAAGUGGUUUUCUUUAUGGAAACUAAAGUGUGUAAAAGUCAGAUGGAAAAAGUUCGUUAUAGAUGUGGUUAUGUGAAUGGGUUUGAAGUUGAUCCGAUUGGUACUAGAGAAGGUCUAUGUUUAGCAUGGAGGAAUGAAAUCUGCAUUGAGCUGGGGAGUUUUUCUAAAAGACACAUUGAUGUGAUGGUUGAGGAUAAUGAGGUAAAAGAAAAAUAGACUCACUUGUUUCUAUGGAUCUCCCCAUGCUCAGGAAAGAAAUGAGUCUUGGAAUGUGUUGAGGAAUUUACAUAACGAUGAGGAGGCUUUGGUUCGUUUGUGAAGACUUUAAUGAGAUAAUGUAUGGUUUUGAAAAAAAAAGGAGGGUUACCCUGUGAUGAACAAAAAAUAGAGAAUUUCUGUAAUGUUUUAGCAGAUUGUCAACUAUUGGAUGUGGGGUUUUCUGGAAAUUAGUUUACAUGGGAGAGAGGAAACCUUUCCGAGACAAACAUUCGUGAACGAUUGGAUUGCGAAGUUUCUAAUGACGAAUGGAUGACUUUGUUUCCAGAGGUAACUAUUCAACAUAUGUCUCAUUCUUUCUUAGAUUAUUAUCCUCUUUUUAUUACUACUAAACGGGCUGAAAAUUGGGUGACUACUAAAGCUUUCAAGUUUGAAGCUUGGUGGAUAAUGGAAGAGUUGUUUAAUGAAAAAGUCAAAAAUAUAUAAGAGUCAUCAUCUAGCAACUUGUUGCAAAAGUUAGAUAUUUUAAAAGGGGGAUUGAGACGAUAGGCAGGACAAAUUCGAAUCUAUAGAAAAAUGAGAAAGGAUCUGCUCACAGCUAGAUUAUCAGAACUUGCAGGGGCAGACAGAGAUGAUAUCAACAUGGCAUAACUGAUUGAUGCAAAAAUUCAAUUGAACUUUGAGACUAAAAAAGAUGAACGUUACUAGGAACAGAGAGCUCGGAUAAAUUAGCUUCAAUUUGGGAUAGGAAUACUGCAUUUUUUCAUAGCCAAUUAAUGUAGCGUAGAAGGAGAAAUGUCAUCUACAAAUUGAACAAUAAAGAAAGGGGAUAAACAGAGAUUGUAAAAGAAAUGGAAGGCAUUACUCGAUCUUAUUUCCAGAAUUUAUUUACAACAAAGAGGCGAGGAAAUUGACCAUUUGUUAUUGGGUAUUGAAAAUUGCAUACAUGAGGAGGAUAAUCAAAAUCUUAUAAAGCCUUAUACGACAGAAGAGAUUAGAGAGGCACUGUUUACGAUGAGACCCACUAAAGCACCAGGUGAGAUGGCUUUCCAGCUCUAUUUUACCAAAAAUUCUGGCACAUCUUUGAGGACGACGUCACCAAAUUCUGCUUACAAAUUCUUAACGAAGGUAUGGGCUUUCAACAAAUUAAUGUUACUCACAUAAUAUUCAUCCCUAAAAUUGAUAACCUGUCUACUCUGAUGAACUUCUGACCUAUCAGUUUAUGUAAUAUGCUUUAUAAAAUUAUAGCAAAAGCUAUUGCAAAUCGUUUCAGAGGAACUGUAUUGACCAAGCUCAAAGUGGGCAUACCAGGUAAAUUGAUUUCAAAUAAUGUUCUAUUGGCAUGUGAAAUCCUUCAUACUCUUCAACAAAAGAGGGUUGGAAAAAAAGUUUUUAUGGCAGUCAAGUUGGACAUGAGUAAAGUAUAUGAUAGGGUUGAGUGGAAUUUUAUCAAAGAAAUUAUGGUACGAAUGGGGUUCAAUAUGAACUGGAUCGAAACUUUGAUGAAAUGUUUGACAACCGUCUCCUAUUCAGUAGUUGUAAACGGAUACAUAAGAGAAAGCUUCCAACUAACAAAAGAACUUCGUCAAAGUGACCCGCUUAGCCCUUUUUUAUUUCUCAUUUGCGGAGAGGGUUUAUCAUGUUUAAUAUGAUUAUCAAGUAAAGAAGGCCUAUUGAAAGGGCCAAAGCUUGUAAGAGUGGACCACAGGUAUCGUAUUUGUUAUUUGCCGACAAUUGCAUUCUAUUUGGUCAGGCUAUAAGAAAGGAAGCUAAUUUAUUAAAGGAAAUUUUAAGGGAAUAUAGGAGUUGCUUGGGCUAAGUGUUAACUUUAAUAAGGCCACUGUCUUUUUUAGUAGAAAUACCAAUGAAGAGGAUAGGCGGGAUGUGAUAAAUAUUUUAAGGGUGUGAAGUUCAAGCAAUCCAGAGAGGUAUUUAGGGCUACCCAAUAUAGUUGGAAAAAAGAAAAAGGAAUCAUUUCAGGAUCUAAAAGAUCGAAUUAAGAAACCUAUUGACAAUUGGAGCAUUAGAUUUUUGUCUCAGGGCGAAAAGGAAGUAUUUAUCAAAUCUGUCCUUCAAUUUAUCCUAACUUAUACUAUGUCCUGUUUCUUAUUACCCAAAUCUUUAUGUUCAGAAUUGGAAAGCAUUAUUACUCAAUUUUGGUAGCAAAAGGGUGUGGUAGACGGGGAAUACAUUGGUGUGCAUGGAAAAACCCUUGUAUUUUAAAAGAAAACGAGGGUCUUGGUUUCAAAAUAUGAGUCAGUUCAAUAUCACAUUAUUAGCCAAGCAAGGGUGGCACCUUAUUAAUUAUCCGAAUUCAUUAGUAGUUAGAGUACUCAAGGCUAAAUACUAUCCGUAUGUAGAUUUUAAUAACGCUCAGUUAGGGAUCUACCUUUUCUUACCUGGAAGAACGUGUGGGUUGCUAAUUGAUUGUUAAAGAAUGGACUGCGUUGGAAGGUUGGAAAGGGUGAUGGGAUCUCGAUCUAGGAGGACCGCUGGAUUCUAGAAAAGGAACCUGAUAAGUGGAACAAUAGAAACUUCUGCGAAGGGCCUCAGUUAGUCUCAGAAUUAAUUGACCCAAAUACCAGAACAUGGAAGACAAAUAUUGUUAGUAGUACCUUCAUGAGAUUGCUCAACAAAUUAUGCAGAUUCCUCUUACGGAAAGUCCUUAUAACAACCUUCAAGUGUGGAAAGGAGAAUCAUCUGGAGAAUUUACUGUUAGAAGCGCCUACAAACUAUUACAAGAAACUAGUUUGGAUCCUAGUUAUUAUUUUAUAUAGGCUGACUCAAAGAAACUCUACAAAAAACUUUGGAAUCUAGGACUACCCUCAAAAAUACUGAUUACAAUAUGGAGAAUAACAUGGAACUAUAUUCCAACUUUUGCAAAUCUAAAAUACAAGCGAGUGAUUAAUAGUGCUUUAUGUCCUCGAUGUGGGAACGGAGAAGAAGACAGUGUGCAUGUUUUCUAGCAAUGCCCUGUAACAACAGAGAUUUGGCAGAAGUUAGAGGUCUCAUGGGUUAUUACCAGAACGGUUUAAAAUAUCUGGGAAUGGAUUACCUAGAUAUUUCAGAAUAGUUCUUAUCAACAGUGUCGCUUGCUCUGUUGCGGUUUGGGGAUCAUAUGGAGCUCAAGAAAUAAACUCGUGCAUGAAAGGAAGAUAGAGUCAGAAGGAGAAAUUUCACAGAAUAUCGGAAGAUAUAUGGCUGAAAUUGAGGGAUUAGAAGAAAAGAAGUUUACCUCUUCCAUGGGUAUCAGGAGCAACCUUCUAGAUGCAAACACCAAGGCAACGAUUCAGUUUGACACAACAUUUGACGACAGAAGUCACAAAUCAGCAUCGGGCUUAGUGGUUUGGAGCUGGACGGGAGAACUCCUUGCAUUAAAGACAGUGGUAAACGUAAACGUUCGGUCUCCAUUUGCAGCAGAGGCUUACGCAGGCUUGCAAGCUGUUCAGUUAGGGAUCUCGAUGGCCCUUCCUUCAAUAACGGUUAUGGGAGACUCUCGAACAGUUAUCAAAAAAUGCCAGUCAAAGAACUUGGACAAAUCAACCAUCGGUGCAAUAAUUAGAGAUAUUCAAAGUAGUAUGACUCGUUUUCAAGAAAUAAAAUUCCAGUUCAUCAAAAGAAUGAGGAACGUACCAGAGAAGGGCGGAUCUAACUUAGCACCAUUCGCACCAGGAGGGAAGAUGGAGAAGCAGCGCAGAUUGAGAUUUGCUUGUGGUAAAUGAAAUGUAACAGAUAGCUUAAUAUGGAAUAUGGAGCGACUAUCGACAACACAGAGGAGACGAAGAUGUGAAAGGACGAUAGGGAAAAGGAGUCUAGCUGUGUCUUUGGAAUCGGCUAGUUUCAUUACAAAAAGUUUCCUUUUAUUGUUUUCAAUCAGAUGGCAGGCUUUUAUUAGGGUUAUUUUAUUUGUUUUAUUUUGAAACUAAUGACUAAAGCCGAAAGCUAGUCUAAUGCUUCAUACCCCUAAACCAAAAGAAUUAGGCCAUUUAUUGGAUAGUUAGUCUAGUGUGUCAUAGGCCUGAACCAAAAUAACUAGACUUUUUAUUUGAUUUUAUUCUUUUCAUUAUUAAUAAAUCUAGCCGAUUUUUUUUUUUUAAAAAUAGCAUACUUUCAAUAUUUUUUUUGACUGUUAUGUUAAAAGAAAUGAUAAAUUAUGUCAAUAAUCACUCAACUAUGUAUAAGUUAUUGUUUUGGUUACUUAACUGUAAAAAAUUAUAAUUUGGUCACUAACAAUUUUGAGAUUUUCUUUUUCACUCAACCAUAAAGGAACUAAGGCACUUUUUU